RNAcentral lists this ribosomal RNA (268 nucleotides) under Klebsiella oxytoca. Its description in RNAcentral is "partial 16S ribosomal RNA". It matches the Rfam family "Bacterial small subunit ribosomal RNA", at positions 1 to 267 of the family's 1533-position model. Lineage: Bacteria; Pseudomonadati; Pseudomonadota; Gammaproteobacteria; Enterobacterales; Enterobacteriaceae. The record is from RNAcentral.
AAAUUGAAGAGUUUGAUCAUGGCUCAGAUUGAACGCUGGCGGCAGGCCUAACACAUGCAAGUCGAACGGUAGCACAGAGAGCUUGCUCUCGGGUGACGAGUGGCGGACGGGUGAGUAAUGUCUGGGAAACUGCCCGAUGGAGGGGGAUAACUACUGGAAACGGUAGCUAAUACCGCAUAACGUCGCAAGACCAAAGAGGGGGACCUUCGGGCCUCUUGCCAUCGGAUGUGCCCAGAUGGGAUUAGCUUGUAGGUGAGGUAACGGCUCA